RNAcentral lists this long non-coding RNA (300 nucleotides) under Hordeum vulgare. RNAcentral's name for it is "long non-coding RNA (HVUL_LNC017501)". Lineage: Eukaryota; Viridiplantae; Streptophyta; Magnoliopsida; Poales; Poaceae. The record is from RNAcentral.
UCGUGUGCACACUUUGAUAUUUCCUCCUUCAUAUGUGAAGAUACGAAUAGAUGCCAGAACAUACAGAAAGAAGACAACGAGAGAAUAAUUAAAUUGAUCCAAUGAACACGUAGGAAUCAGAGACAUCGGGAGAGAAAAAAUAUCUACCAAGUUAGUACAUUGUCCCGCAAACAACAUGGUGUGUACUGAACUCAAGAUUUGAGCCACUUGCUGAAAAGUUCUUUCUACUCCUUUGUGUUUCUCCCUGUACCUGGUUCCACUGUCAGCAAAUGUAUGCUCUGCUUGUAGUCCUCUCAGUUA